Molecule: ribosomal RNA, 384 nt
Filed under: uncultured bacterium
Lineage: Bacteria
Description: bacterial SSU rRNA
Rfam family: Bacterial small subunit ribosomal RNA
Source: RNAcentral
AGCAGUGGGGAAUAUUGGACAAUGGGCGCAAGCCUGAUUCAGCCAUGCCGCGUGAGUGAUGAAGGCCUUAGGGUUGUAAAGCUCUUUCGCACGCGACGAUAAUGACGGUAGCGUGAGAAGAAGCCCCGGCUAACUUCGUGCCAGCAGCCGCGGUAAUACGAAGGGGGCUAGCGUUGUUCGGAUUUACUGGGCGUAAAGGGCGCGUAGGCGGAUUGAUCAGUCAGGGGUGAAAUGCCAAGGCUCAACCUUGGAACUGCCUUUGAUACUGUCGAUCUCGAGUCCGGGAGAGGUGAGUGGAACUGCGAGUGUAGAGGUGAAAUUCGUAGAUAUUCGCAAGAACACCAGUGGCGAAGGCGGCUCACUGGCCCGGAACUGACGCUGAGG